GUAGGGAAUCUUCCGCAAUGGGCGAAAGCCUGACGGAGCAAUGCCGCGUGAGUGAUGAAGGUUUUCGGAUCGUAAAGCUCUGUUGCCAGGGAAGAACGUCCUUGAGAGUAACUGCUCAAGGAGUGACGGUACCUGAGAAGAAAGCCCCGGCUAACUACGUGCCAGCAGCCGCGGUAAUACGUAGGGGGCAAGCGUUGUCCGGAAUUAUUGGGCGUAAAGCGCGCGCAGGCGGUCAUUUAAGUCUGGUGUUUAAUCCCGGGGCUCAACCCCGGAUCGCACUGGAAACUGGAUGACUUGAGUGCAGAAGAGGAGAGUGGAAUUCCACGUGUAGCGGUGAAAUGCGUAGAGAUGUGGAGGAACACCAGUGGCGAAGGCGACUCUCUGGGCUGUAACUGACGCUGAGGCGCGAAAGCGUGGGGAGCAAACAGGAUUAGAUACCCCUGUAGUCC
This 449-nucleotide ribosomal RNA is filed under the name uncultured bacterium. Its description in RNAcentral is "bacterial SSU rRNA". It matches the Rfam family "Bacterial small subunit ribosomal RNA", at positions 354 to 796 of the family's 1533-position model. The record is from RNAcentral.